AUGUUUGACGGAGUUGAGCGGAUGCUUCGGGGAGUCGGGCAUGUGCCAGGGUUUAGGAGGAAUCUAAUUUCGCUUGGUGUUCUUCAUGAUGGUGGUAUGGAAUUUCGUUGUGAUCGGGAUAAGAAGACCAUGGAAAUCAUGGAAGAUAAGGUGACUAUGAUGAUAGGAGAGAGGACGACCUUUUCACAUCUUUACAAGUUGCAAGGGAGCACUAUUGCAGGUGGAGCCAUGGAGAGUGAAGCUGCAGGAAUAGCAAUGGAGUCCCACGGUGGCGGCGAGUCUGGCCCGUCGGGUAGCUCUCAGUAA
This 306-nucleotide ribosomal RNA is filed under the name Triticum aestivum (bread wheat). RNAcentral's name for it is "partial small subunit ribosomal RNA". Lineage: Eukaryota; Viridiplantae; Streptophyta; Magnoliopsida; Poales; Poaceae. The record is from RNAcentral.